UUCUUAUCGAGAGAGGUGGAGGGACUGGCCCUACGAAACCUCGGCAGCGGACUCUUAGAAGUACUGUGCCAAUUCCAGUAGUUAUUUACUUGAAGAUGAGAA
Molecule: non-coding RNA, 102 nt
Filed under: Lederbergia galactosidilytica
Lineage: Bacteria; Bacillati; Bacillota; Bacilli; Caryophanales; Bacillaceae
Also listed under: 1 other name
Description: Bacillus galactosidilyticus SAM riboswitch aptamer (S box leader)
Rfam family: SAM riboswitch aptamer (S box leader)
About the family: The SAM riboswitch is found upstream of a number of genes which code for proteins involved in methionine or cysteine biosynthesis in Gram-positive bacteria. The SAM riboswitch acts at the level of transcription termination control.
Source: Rfam by way of RNAcentral